Molecule: long non-coding RNA, 844 nt
Filed under: Heterocephalus glaber (naked mole-rat)
Lineage: Eukaryota; Metazoa; Chordata; Mammalia; Rodentia; Bathyergidae
Description: lncRNA (ENSHGLG00100034985.1)
Source: RNAcentral
UGUAAAUCUCAAGUCUAUCCAGCAUUUGGUGCGUGGGCCAGGAAAAUCAACCGUGCUGAUUGAUUAAAAUCACUGGUUGAAGCCCUUGCGGAGGAAGUGGGGAACCGCCCUGCCCCCCACCCCCAAUGGGACAGUAUGCUCUCAGAUUUCUCUGAGUCUCCUCAGAGGACUAGGGAUGAACUGAUUACCGCCUGUGAUUUUUCCAGGCCCAGAAGAAGUGAGGAUGCUUGUCUGGUUUAGUUCGAUAUGGUCAUUGGAUAAGAGAAGCUUCAGUGUUUGCCAUCAUCUUUGGAUGUCCAUUUCCACAUUUAAAGGGCAGACUCCAGCCUUUUGGUGCAGACCCUUUGGCUUCAGGAUAUUGACUCACACCAGACUCUGCAGUGAGCUCCAGGCCCUCCACUUUUGAUUGAUGCAUUCUUCACCCUGACUCUGCAGGUGAAAGUUGAGGCACUGAAAAUGAAUAGAAGCGAAUCUAGGUAUCAAGGGAAGAAGGAAGAUUCAAGUGUUUUCUUGCUGUGCAUUGUCGUUGUUGUUGUUGUCUCUGAAGAUUAUUGCUGCUCUCUGGCUAACAUUGAGUAACAAUGAACUCUAUGGGGCAAAUGUACAAAUCCUGGACCUUUUAUGGGAGGAUUUGAUCCUCCCAUAAAAUGACUUUACUAUUUCUUGUCUUGAGGAAUCUAGAUCAAACAAGUCUUCCAUCCAUUUUUAUCUCCAGCCAUAGACAUAACCAUACCUUCUGGAAACUGUCUGCCUUCUUGGGGCAGGAAAUUCUCACAUGAUACACUGCAGGAUAGUUUAGACACAACUCUGUAUGUGCUCCUUCUGACCCACAAAAAACUCUACC